Mustela lutreola (European mink) is the source of this 4028-nucleotide long non-coding RNA. RefSeq lists it as uncharacterized. The record is from RefSeq and is a predicted model, not a curated record. The transcript is spliced from 7 exons. NCBI's taxonomy places the organism in Eukaryota, Metazoa, Chordata, Mammalia, Carnivora, Mustelidae.
GCCCUAUAUUGGGUGCAGAGUCUACCUAAAAAAAAAAAAAAAAAAAAAAUCUAUCAAACAUAUCCAUGUGGGUCUAUUUCUGAUGAUUUAGUAUUUUCCUUUUAUCUUCAUUCAGUUUAGGAGGAGGAAAACUAGUAGCUGCCUUCCACAAUUUUACUGUCACUUCCUUUAUGUCCAUUCUUGAAGUGACCAUUGGAAAUGUUGUGUUGAAAAGGAUUAUGAGGCUAAGGCAAAUGGAAGAAAAUGUCAAGAUCGAGUAGCUAUGUCUGUUAUAACAGAGAAAAAAAAAAAGUGUUACAGCAAAUAGUCCACAAACUUACCAACUCUGGACAAACCCAAAUAAAUACUACAUCACUUGGUCAACUAUAAUCCAGAAGAGCACCACGAUUACUGAAUUACCACUCUAGUACUGACUGAAGUUUGUUGAAAACAGAAAGCAAGAUAUCUGUGAACAUGCUUUGAUCUACUAACGUUAUGAUGAUUAUUAUGCCUGCUAGAGUAAUUCUAGCCCCAGUCAGGCUACUGAGAAGUAAGUCAGCAAACAAUAAAGAGCUACUGGAUCUGAUAGAGAAUCAGCAAUCACCAAGAGACUUUGCACAUUGAGCUAGAUGCAUAACUGGACAAGCUUCCUUGAAACUAUCUGUGGCCGUGUGAUUAAGUUCCAGGGACUUCCCUAAUCCUACUGAAGCAGUGAUACUACAAGAAAUCGAAGCUGUUUGUGGAGCCUAUCCUUCUAGCCCCUCAAAAAAUUCCAGUCAAUUCCCAGAAACCUAGAUGUUAUAAGCAAGACAUAGCAUGCCAUGGAGGCAGGAAUCUCAGAGUUCCAACUGGUGAAGCUGCCAGGUUCAAGAGAGAAGUUCCACAGGUAGUAGAGGGCUGUGGGAAGAGCACUGAACUUGGAGUCAAGACACUUCAGUCCAGUCUCAUCUUCAAUCUGCUGGUUAAACAGGAGCAAAUCUCCCAGCACCCUGAGGAUCACCAUCCCUCUACCGAAACACGAGUAUUAAACUACAUGAACUCUAAUGUACGUUCCCUUUAUUUUCAGAGGGAAAAAAAUGUUUUAUUAAACAUAUUUGUACAUAAUUAAACAAAUGUUUAGUUUGGUAAAAUGUGCAUCACUCUCUCAAUUUUCAUAAUCUCUUUUACCCUAAAAAAAUAAUUUAUUUUUGUUAUAUAUAAUAGUCUUGAUUCAUAAAUUCAGACAUGUAAGAAUUGUAGGGUUUUUUAUUGUUAAUAUUUCUUUUUGACCCCAAAUUACCAUUAUGACACUUCCAUGACUCUGAAAGUCAUUCUGUUUCCCCAUUCUGAAGUCUUAUCUUAGGCAAUACCAGUUCUUGAGAGGGAGGUGUCAGCCAUAGGCCCAAUUAAAUUACCACUCAGAUAUCUUUUCCUUCUGACCUCACUUCUCCUUCAGUUUUAGAGUCUCUGCUGAUUUCAUGUCUAUGCAGGAGAUGAAAAUCUUUUAUGAGCUUCUCUAUGAUUUUCUCAGUCUAGGAUAUCAUGCUGCCACUCCACUGGAGGUGGGGAUGAGGGUGAUGGAGGCGGUGGGGCAAGAGGUUGCUGCAUUCUAACAGGCACUAGGUCUCAGAAGCUUAAAGAACCGCAGGGAUCUCUCUUUCUCCCAUCCCUCAGGCCCAGGACACUAUUUCUAAUGAGAGCGGACUAACAAACUCUUUCGUUGUAUAUAGUAUACCAAGAAACUGUCCUUCCACAAAUUCCUGUCUCUCUUUAAAUCCCUUUACGUAUAUACUUCAAGGUCUCCAGAAGAAAGACAUUUGAUUAGCUUUAGAAUUCCAAUAAAGCAUGAAUGUUUAAAAUUUAAAAACUAGGUAAUGGGUAUUAAGGUGGGCAUGUGUUGGGAUGAGCACUGGGUGUUAUAUGCAACUAAUGAAUCAUUGAACACUACAACAAAAACUUACGAGAUACUAUAUCCUGGCUAACUGAAUACAAUUAAAAAAAUUAAAGAGAAGCAUUAAAAGAAUAGAACUAUAACUUUUAAAGCAGUAGAGGAGAAAAAUAAAUUAAAAAACCUGAACAGUCCAAAUAAGGCAAGAGAAAGAAAAAAGAGGAGCAAAAAAUGUAAGACAUGUGAAAGCAGAAAUAAAAAUGGGACAUAAAUACAAACAUAUUGUAAAUCAUAAUAAGUACAAAAUUCUACACAUCAAUACUUAAAGCUAAAUAUUAUCAGGUUGGAUCUCCAAAAUUACAUUCAGCAAGAAACUAUUUACUAAAGAUAAAAUCAGACAUUAAAAUACAAAAAGAAGGGAUGCCUCUGUGGCUCAGUGGGUUAAGCCUCUGCCUUCAGCUCAGGUCAUGAUCUCAGGGUCCUGGGGUCAAGCCCCGCAUCAGGCUCUCUGCUCAGCAGGGAGCCUGCUUCCCCCCUCUCUCUCUGCCUGCCUCUCUGCCUACUUGUGAUCUCUCUCUCUGUAUCAAAUAAAUAAAUAAAAUCUUUUAAAAAAAAAGAUACAGGAGGAUGAAAGUAAAAACUUGGGAAAUAGAUAUUAGGCAGGUACUUUAGCUAAAUGACUUGAAACAUAAUGGACAUUAGGCAUAUACAUUACUGAGGUACUAAAAGAGUCAUUAUAUAAUUGUUUAAUGAUUUCUAAUGAGGAAUUGAAAUAAUUAAAAUUAUUAAAAUAGGGACCUAAUAACGUGAAUUUAAAAUAUGUAAAGCAAAAAAUUUAACUAAAGGGAAAUUAAAACUUUAGAAUAGUAGUAGAAAUUUUCAUACAACUUGUCAUUACUGGAUGGAUUAAACACAUAAAUAUCAGUAUUAGAAGGUCUGGAUAUAAAAAUUAAUAAGAUUGACAUAUUAGAAACUAUGAUCUCUGUGUAUAGUAGUAAUAAGAAAAUUCACAUUCUUGCAAGCACAUAUGAAUUAUUUACAAAAAAUUAAAAAGCACACACUAGCUCAGAAAGUUCAUAUCAACAUCAAACAAUGAGUCUAUGUGUGAUUAAGUUAUGCUGAAUUAUAAAUCAAUAAAAUUCCAUCCAUUGGAAAUUUUAAGCAUUCUAAAUACAUCAUGGUUUAAGAAAUGAAAAUGGUAAUCAAACAUUUAAAAGAGAAUGAUACUGAGACUAUUUCAAAUAAAAUAAAUCUUAUAGCGCUUAGCUAAAGUAGUACUUAGAGGAAAAUUUAUAGUAUCGAAUCCAUGUUUUGGAAAGAACAGGAACAAAAUUAACAAAAUGACUGGUUUGAGAAGUUAGAAAAUGUACAACAGAGCAAUCCCUUUGGAAAAAGGACAUUAGCGUAGUAGUAAGAAAGAAAGAAUGGAGAAGAACAAACCAAAAGCUGGCUCUCUGGAAAAAAUAGAAAACCUUAAGAAUUGAGCAUUUGUCUAGAAAUAUAUGGAGCAUAGAAACUGAUGCUAGAAAAUGGGGAGUCAAGCCUAUACCUAUUGAAGAAAAUGAAUCAGAAGUUAAAAUUCUACCCCCAUACAAGUGUCAGACACAGAUGAAUUUAUGGAUAAUUUUUAAGAAAAUAGAAUACAGAUAAUUCCCAAUGCAUAGAAAAAAUUAGAGAAUAGAAAAAGAAGAAAAUGUGCUAAUACAUAUAAUGUUAAGAGAUUAUUAUGACAUUGAUACUAAAUUUAAGGAUGGAGAGAAAAAAUAAAAAUAAUAGGAUUUUAAAUAUAUAUGCAUAUGUAAAUACUUAUGCACAUCUACAUAUACAUAUGUAAAUAUGUAAAAUUAAAGAGGGAGAAUGUUAAAAAUAAAAACAGUAGGAUUUUAAAUAUAGAUACAUAUGUAAAUGUAAACUUACCAAUGUAAAUAUGCAUAUAUGUGUAAAAAUAAAUAUAUGUAUGUAAAUAAAGUACUAAUUCCAUGAAUCUAACAAUGUAAUUUAUUGAAUUGACAUAUGCAAAACUGGAAUGUCUCAAAAACAUCAUAUUAAGUAAGCAUAAAUAUAAUUUUAUCAAUGUUAUCAAAUUAAUGAUUAAAGAAAAUUAUUUCUAUAAAUAGAGAGUAAAAGCCAUAUACAUAUAUAUGCAAUGUAACGAUGCCAUUAUAUUGUUAUGCAUUGUUAA